Molecule: ribosomal RNA, 1490 nt
Filed under: Pinus taeda (loblolly pine)
Lineage: Eukaryota; Viridiplantae; Streptophyta; Pinopsida; Pinales; Pinaceae
Description: eukaryotic LSU rRNA
Rfam family: Eukaryotic large subunit ribosomal RNA
Source: RNAcentral
GCAAAAAGAACCCGUAACUUCAGGAAAAGGAUUGGCUCUGAAGGUUCGGCCUAGGGGUUUGCACCCUCAACUCGUGGGUUGUAGGCAAUCUGCCCAAGCUGCUCUCGAUGCGAGGGCGAGCAGUCGCAUGCUGAUUGGGCUAUGGGCAUAGAAUGCCCCCUACCGGGGGCUUUUCCCUAAGCGGCGAACAAUCGACUCAAAAUUGGUACAGAAAAGGGGAAUCUGACUGUUUAAUUAAAACAAAGCAUUGCGAUGGUCCCUAUGGAUGCUGAGGCAAUGUGAUUUCUACCCAGUGCUCUGAAUGUCAAAGUAAAGAAAUUCAACCAAGCGAGGGUAAACGACAGGAGUAACUAUGACUCUCUUAAGGUAGCCAAAUGCCUCGCCAUCUAAUUAGUGACAUGCAUGAAUGGAUUAAUGAGAUUCCCAUUGUCUCUAUCUACUAUCUAGUGAAACCACAUCCAAGGGAAUGGGCUUGGUAGAAUUAGCGGGGAAAGAAGACCUUGUUGAGCUUGACUCUAGUCCGACUUUGUGAAAUGACUUGAGAGGUGUAGAAUAAGUGGGAGCCGAUUUCGGCCCAAGUGAAAGACCACUACUUUUAACGUUAUUUUACUUAUCCCGUGGGGCAUAGACGAGGCACUCCCCCUAUUUUUGGCCUUAAGGCACGUUUCAACAGGUCGAUCCAAGUGGAAGACAUUGUCAGGUGGGGAGUUUGGUUGGGGUGGCACAUCUGUUAAAAGAUAACGCAAGUGUCCUAAGAUGAGCUCAACGAGAACAGAAAUCUCAUCUGGAACAAAAGGGUAAAAGCUCAUUUGAUUUUGAUUUUCAAUACGAAUACAAACAGUGAAAGCAUGGCCUAUCGAUCCUUUAGAUUUUCGGAGUUUGAGGCUAGAGGUGUCAAAAAAGUUACCACAUGGAUAAUUGGCUUGUGGCAGCCAAGCGUUCAUAGCGACGUUGCUUUUUUAUCCUUCAAUGCCUUCUCUUCCUAUCGUUUUGAAGCAAAAUUCACCAAGUGUUGGAUUGUUCACCCACAAUAGGGAACGUGAGCUGGGUUUAGAACAUCGUGAGAUAGGUUAGUUUUACCCUACUAAUGAACCGCAUUGCAAUAGUAAUUCAACUUAGUACCAGAGGAAUCGUUGAUUCACACAAUUGGUCAUCGCGCUUGGUUGAAAAGCUAGUGGCGUGAACCUACCAUGUGUCGGAUUAUGACUCAACACCUCUAAGUCAGAAUCCACGCCAAAAGCGGUGCAUGUCACUCUUCGACUGUAUCUCGACCCACAAUAGGGACGCCACUUUGUCGCCCCUAGGGGCCCGUGUCAUUUGCAAACCACGAUCAUGAAGCAUCUUGGUUGGGGCAGCUUUGAAGUCAAUUCCAAACGAUCGUUAAGAAGAAUCCUUUGCAGACGGGGUAUCAUAAGUGGCAGAGUGGCCUUGCUGCCACGAUCCACUGAGAUUAGCCCCUUGGUCGCCCUGAUUCAAAGCUUAGCUCUUGU